Molecule: ribosomal RNA, 778 nt
Filed under: uncultured bacterium
Lineage: Bacteria
Description: bacterial SSU rRNA
Rfam family: Bacterial small subunit ribosomal RNA
Source: RNAcentral
AGAGUUUGAUCAUGGCUCAGGACGAACGCUGGCGGCGUGCUUAACACAUGCAAGUCGAACGGGGUCCAAGUGUUCGCAAGAACAUGGAAGACCUAGUGGCGAACGGGUGAGUAACACGUGAGGAGCCUACCCCGGACUCAGGAAUAACAGCCGGAAACGACUGCUAAUACCUGAUGCCGUCGGAGCAUCGCAUGGUGCACUGACGAAAGAAUCUCGGUUCGGGCGGGCCUCGCGGCCUAUCAGCUAGUUGGUGGGGUAACGGCCUACCAAGGCAUCGACGGGUAGCUGGUCUGAGAGGAUGAUCAGCCACACUGGGACUGAGACACGGCCCAGACUCCUACGGGAGGCAGCAGUGGGGAAUCUUGCGCAAUGGGCGAAAGCCUGACGCAGCAACGCCGCGUGCGGGAAGAAGGCCUUAGGGUUGUAAACCGCUUUCAGUAGGAACGAAAAUGACGGUACCUGCAGAAGAAGGUGCGGCCAACUACGUGCCAGCAGCCGCGGUGACACGUAGGCACCAAGCGUUGUCCGGAUUUAUUGGGCGUAAAGAGCUCGUAGGCGGUUGAGUAAGUCGGGUGUGAAAACUCUGGGCUUAACCCAGAGCCGCCACUCGAUACUGCUCUGACUUGAGUACGGUAGGGGAGCAGGGAAUUCCUAGUGUAGCGGUGAAAUGCGCAGAUAUUAGGAGGAACACCGGUGGCGAAGGCGCUGCUCUGGGCCGAAACUGACGCUGAGGAGCGAAAGCGUGGGUAGCAAACAGGAUUAGAUACCCUAGUAGUCC